AAUACAUUUAAGGUCCUCCUGUAACGAUAUUACAUACAACUUUCCAUCUUUGCUUCCCCAUCAUGUGAAGGAACUGACUCCGAAUCUAUUUCUGCAAAGGGCGAUAUCGUAACUCCUAUACAGGAGAGUUACAGAUCUAAAUAUAUGUUGCUCACGUGACACUGAUUUGGACGGAAACGUCGAGAGUAACGUUCGCAAAAAAUAAAACAGCCAAUGAUAUUGAUUCCUCAAGUCCUUUGAAC
RNAcentral lists this long non-coding RNA (242 nucleotides) under Mytilus galloprovincialis (Mediterranean mussel). The record is from RNAcentral. Lineage: Eukaryota; Metazoa; Mollusca; Bivalvia; Mytilida; Mytilidae.